RNAcentral lists this ribosomal RNA (439 nucleotides) under uncultured bacterium. Its description in RNAcentral is "partial 16S ribosomal RNA". It matches the Rfam family "Bacterial small subunit ribosomal RNA", at positions 339 to 795 of the family's 1533-position model. The record is from RNAcentral.
CUACGGGCGGCAGCAGUGGGGAAUAUUGCACAAUGGACGAAAGUCUGAUGCAGCAACGCCGCGUGGAGGAUGACACAUUUCGGUGCGUAAACUCCUUUUAUAUAGGAAGAUAAUGACGGUACUAUAUGAAUAAGCACCGGCUAACUCCGUGCCAGCAGCCGCGGUAAUACGGAGGGUGCAAGCGUUACUCGGAAUCACUGGGCGUAAAGAGCGUGUAGGCGGGUAGUUAAGUCAGAAGUGAAAUCCAAUAGCUCAACUAUUGAACUGCUUUUGAAACUGAUUACCUAGAAUAUGGGAGAGGUAGAUGGAAUUUCUGGUGUAGGGGUAAAAUCCGUAGAGAUCAGAAGGAAUACCGAUUGCGAAGGCGAUCUACUGGAACAUUAUUGACGCUGAGACGCGAAAGUGUGGGGAGCAAACAGGAUUAGAUACCCCCGUAGUC